GUAAGUGUCAGUUAUUUGAAAUAUAAGUUUAGGACAAACACAUUCUACGUGAAAUAUUUCCACAAAACGUGUUUGUUAGGUUUCGAAGUACACAGAACUGACUUGAUUAAAGGUCAUCGCACAAAUGGUUCAUUUACUUUGAGGAAAGCUUGUGCAGGUGCUAAUUUACUAUGUAAUGUAAAGAAAUAUAUCAGCGGAAUACAACUGUGACUUUGUGGUCCUAAAGUGUUUUAUUUCUGAGCAGUGCUGCUUCUGCGUGUGAACAGAGAGUGUCUCUGGUGUUUUCCUGAUACGUCUGAUGUCAGGCGAGUUCUUUGUGGUGCUGAUUUUCAUUUCAUGUUUGUGUCUCUGACCUGUUUUCACGCCUGUAAACCUGUGAGCAUUACUUCAAAGCAGCGUUCACAUUUUCACCCACUUUAAGAGCGACCAUUUUGUUUUGAGGGGGGGUUAUUAUUGAAGACCCGCUCUGUGCCCAUCUUAGGCAUGGAUGGACUGUGCAGUAUUAUCCUUGUUCUUUUACUCACAGUAGCAGGAGCUUUCAAUAUUACCCCUGAAGAGGAGAAAAUUAACGUCCAUCUGGAACCAAAGUACAUUGAAGUUUGUGAAGAAGCUUCAGUCACAUUCAACUGCACUUUUCAGCCUCGUGGAAAGUACAAAGUGAGCUGGCAUUAUAGCCAGACACCUUAUUUAGACUGUGAAACAGAAAACAAGAUACCUGAAGGACAGAGAUUUUUUAAAGAGGAAGAUGAAGAUUGGUCAACACUCAACAUUACUUUUAACAAAGCCAGUGAGAGCGGAUGGUACUUCUGCAAGGUUACAAAAGACAUCCCGGUUCUCUUACGAUACUGCAGUAAUGGAACACAGGUUAUAGUCGAUGCCACUAGCAAUAGCACCAGCAGCACAACCAGCACCAGAACCACAGAAUCUCAGAAUCAGACAACAGCACAUUUACCUACAACUUGCAUGAACAAUGAUACAACAACCUCCACACCACCCAUGAUAUCAAAGGAGAAGUCUACUCAGUGGUGGAUAUGGCUAGCAUUGGCUGUUGGAUGCGCGGUACUUCUUGUGUCAAUUGUUGUCAUAUGCAUUUUGACACGCAAACCUGAAGACAUCAUUUAUGAGAACACCAAACCAGUGGAAUCGAGCUGCUGGGGGCGAAACAAGGCUAAGAAGGACAUCUGCGACCUGCCUUUGUCCAAAAAAACGGACACCAUUAAACCACUGAGGAAGUACGACACUCUUUCAAGCAACAGAAUCCGAAGGCCUUAAGUAUUAAAUAUGAAAGAAUGACCUAUCCUCUGAAAACACAUUAAUUAUAUUAAAAACCUUACUGUACACACAUAUUUAUUGUAAUGUUGCAUUUCCCGAUAAGAUGGGAAGCUGUAAAUAUAUAAGGCUGUUUGUUUUGUUUUUUCUUCAGAAAGAGAUACAUGAGAAAACCUGAUUUUUUGUCCCUUAAUGACUUUCAGUUGUGUCAAACCGAAACAUUUUGUGGUUAUAAAUGUGAAAACCACCAAAAAUAAAACUCUGUCACACUUUUUUUUCCCACUCACAAUUAAUAAUGCAUUAUCAUUACUGCCACUGCACAAAUUGGUCUGGUAUUUCAGAAGUUACAUGAAGAUUAGUCGACCGUGAUUAGAUAACAAACCACAUGCUGUGAAAGCAGCAAAUGAGGGAAGAAGAAAAAAGGAACUGAGAUGUUUCGUAGUUAUGAAUCAUUAACUCGUAUGUAUUCAAUAAAGGAACUGGGAGUUUUCUUUGAACGCACAUUUAACACGGGCCUAUUGUAACUAGCGUCGGUUACUGACCUUAAUCAGUCCAGACGCCAUAAUGACUUUAAAACGAGGCUGUGAGAGAGACAAUGGUAAUGUUAUGCAUUUCAUAUCAUUUCACAACUCAUGACUUUAAAGAAAUAAAUGUUGUUGAACAACAGUAUAAUCCAUUGAACGUCUAUCCUGCACAGCCUACUUUUAUUCCUGUCAAAAAUGAAAUACUCAACACAAAAUGCGACUUUCUGAUAGCCGUCAAAACACGACAGUAGCUUCUUUACCUCAGAUCUUGAAUAUACCUUAAAGGAAACAAGAACUUUCAAACUGUGAACAAACAAGUGAAUUCCAUGAAAGACAGCUGAAUAUGUAUUUUGAUUAACGUUAAAAAUAUGCACUUACCGAAUUCGAUUUAAGAGCAAGUCGAGCAGUGUUCAUGCUGAGAGAGCGAUAGACCCCGCCCACACGCUCUCCUGAUUGGCUGUAAUUUAUGAUUGAUUUUGGUUAUGGUUGUUGAUGUUGUUGUUUUUUGUUUUGUUUUGUUUUUUUGUUUUUUUUAAGGAAGCGAGGAAAUUAAGGAGAACUCAUUAAAUCGACUGUGUAAAGACUUACAUUUUGACGUUUAUAAUAAUAAGGAAUAUUAUUAUGAAAUAAAUCAGGAAAUUAUAAUGAGUUCUGAAGAAUUAUGCGACACUGAGGACUGGCGUAAUGACGCUAAAACUUCAGCUUUGAAAUCGCUAGAAUGAUUUAAAUUUUAAAAUACGUGAAAAUACAGAACAGAUGUUUUUAAACCGUAUUAAUAUUUAAUAUUUAUUUUCAUCAAGUAAACUCAUUUGCAAUCAUGAGAAAAUUAUUUCCAAAACAUUUUUUAAAUCAUUUUAAUAUUUUCUGGGGCCAGUUGCAUAAACUUAGCCUCCAUGUUAAGAAUGUAGGUGCGUCCCAAAUCGCACAUAUGCACUCUUAUACGAGGUUUUGUAGUAUAAACAGUGUGAGUUCCAAUAAUAAUACUUUAAACAGCACUUUAAACCCCCAGAUGAUGCACUUAAAUAGCCGAAACAACUAAAUGUGGAAUGUUGGACACUUCAGACUCCGGCUUUCAGAUUAUAAAUAACAAAAUAACCUUAUGUAAUGCAUUCACUACAUGGUUGAGUACAUAGUGCAGAGUUCUGUGUCUUAAGAACUAGUUUGACCAACUAGCAGCUGCCAAGGGGAAAUCAGUCUUACUUCUUCAAUAUAAAGAAGACCUUUUCAUAAGCAAAUUUAAAAGUUUAUGACCAGUCUUAAAGAAAAAAUUAGAUGAAUAAGUUUAUAAGCCUAGUCUUAAAAGUUUAUGCAUGGCCGCUGGUGUAAAGAUUGUUAGGUUGAUGGUCAUAAGCAGUUAUAUAAAAUACAGGUGUAGUAACAUUUUCAAACAAACCCGGAACACUAGCAGAAAGUGGGACACAGUCCUCAGAGAACAGCCCUGUCCUAGUUGCAGGUGCAUUUAAUGUGUGAAAAAAACAAUGAAGGCCUUUGCCAAACAGGGUCAUGCUUACUGAUCGAAACUGAUGGACACUUGGGUGCCCAAAAAUAUAUCAGUUCACGCAUUUCCUUUGUGACCUAGAUUGAACAAAAAUGAACAGCAUGAAGACUAACAAAGAUAAAAUCAACUGCUGAACUGUAAUUUGGACACCAAGUCAAUACUUUGUGGGAUAUUUGACAUAAAAUGUAUAAAACAGGCCUUUCACUGAAGGAGAUGUUUUGCCUUCAGAAAUAGGUGACCUCGUGUUAACAUCUGGUCAACCUAAUGAAGUCAAAUAUUCCACGAGCUGUUUUUGAUUUCUAUUUAUUUUCCUUCCUUUAUCCAAAUUUGAGAAUGUAUAAACAUAUCCCGGAUUUGUGUAACUUCACUACUAGCAUUUAACAUUUACCAUCAUAUAAACAUCAAAUUAGAAAAUAUAUAAAAUGUAAAGAAGAAAAGAAAAAAGGUUCAAGGGUUGCAUUUAGUUUACAUCAUACGCUUAAGGUUGGCGAGUCUGAGACCCAAUGUUGGUUUUUACUUUAUCUCUAAAUGUAUAUUUCCCAUAAAAACAAAGAAACGGUUUUAAUCAUUUUUAAUCUAGAUGGCAGUUGAGCUGAGUCCAAAAAGUCAAGAACUCUGAUGGAUUUAGUUUAGCUACAUUUGUUGCUAGGUUAAUUUUAUGUUGGAAAAUAGUUUAUAUAGGCUAGCUAUAUGUGUACUUCUCACAACAACAACUCAAUGUUGUAGUAGUUUACGAAGACAUCUUUUCAAAGUACGUUUAUAUCUGGAAGCCCUAUUUUUUUUUUUGUAAGUGUGUGUGUUUGUUCAUUCUGCAGUCGGCCUAUAGCCUACACCUCGAAGACGUUUCCUGUCAGAUGUUACAUAGACACUCAGAAAAUGUUCUUAACAUGUUUAUGAUUUAAAAAUGAUUUUAUGAGACUGUUUUCCAGAUGAAACGCUCUUUAACAAACAUCUUGAAGACGGAAGUGAACUAUUUAAAGUAAUCCCAGAGCUUCAGCUCAACCAUUCACCGAUUAGCUCAUCGAUGAGUUCUCGGUGAAAUCAAAAACAUGCUUUUGGAUCAGUUUUGUGAUUUUAUUGUGCCAUCAAGUGGACACACAGCACAACAGCAGGGUUGUCUGCUUUCUAGCACAAUUAAAUUAAAUUAAAUGCACUCAGCGAUUUAUUAUCGUUUCCCACGUUUAAUAAUUUUAAGGAUUGUUAAAUAUUUUUGAAUGAGGAAAAUAAAUAUUUGUCAAUUUUCUUGUGUUUUGUGCAUUUUAUUCUGACCAUAAUUAUUUGAACCCACAUAAUAUUAUAAUUUAGACACCCCAAUCUAAUAUAUAUGUUUUAAGAGAACCUUAGCAGUGUAAAGAUGAGCAGCAAUGCAGCGGCGCGCUGGGUGGGUGUGUCCCGAGCAGCGCGUCUCUCCGCCGGUAACCGGCGCUGCUGCUGCCGCUGACGGAGAGCGAGACAGACGGAAGGUGGGUGGGGACAUCCGAGCUAUUGUCGGGAUAAACGCACCUCACGCUCGGGCGGCUGAACGCUGAGCUCGAGCUAAUCCGCGCAGGAGAAGACUGAAUAAACAACUCGGCGUUGGCCAAGGCUUUCCAUUUUAGGUAAGGUUCUGGAUUUUUUUUACCUUGUCUUCCAAGCACGCAGAGAGUUAACGCUGCACUGCGUUGCAUUUGGGGCCAGACAGGACAUGCAUGCUGUUUAUACAUGUGCACGUCAGCGAAAAUGACAAGAUUUGAGGUCGCAUGCAGAGAAAUGGGUCAGAAGAUAAAUUGGUCAGAUCAGCAGCCUGAUUGCCAAUGCUGCUGUCUCCAUUGCACUAUAGUGCAGUGGUUCUCAAACCUGUCCUGGAAUACUCCCAGCCCUGUAUAUUUUGUAUGUCUCCUUCAUCUGUCACACCCGAUUCAGCUAAUUAUCAGCUCAUUAGUGGAGACUGCAAGACCUGAAGUGGGUGUGUCAGAGACAGGGAGACAUACAACAUGUGCAGUGCUGGGGGUUCUUCAUGGUGAGGUUUGAGAACCAAUGCACUAGUGCAAACACACUGAAAUGCAUGCUGCUCUUUGCUGACAGGGCUGCAUGGCACAAGCUGUCGCAGUACUUGCAUGUAACUGUUUGUAUGCAUAAUAAAUCAAGUCUAUAGAAGGUUUCAUUUUCUCUGAGGCACGUGAUUUAUUCAAAUGAUGGUACAUUUGAAAUGCAUGGGCUUGAGGUCAGUGACAUGAAUUAAUGGUGCUUCACAAUAUUUGAUGCUAAUGUUUAUUAUUAUUAUUAUUAGUAGUUGUAGUAAUGAUUUACUAAAUGAUGUUGCUCAGAAACAAGAAUGGUUUGCUUGCCUAAUGAUUAUUAUUCAUGUUUAGAAUAGAGUUAAGGAUAAUUACUAAAAGCCAUAACUCCUAAAAGAGCGCUAAAUGUAUGUAUUGCAUUUAUUUAUAUAUUACUUCCUCUGCUUAAUAUACUGAGUUAAUCUGUCCCUAAAGUUUAAACUUCAAAUUAAUUAUUUACAAUGUUUAAAGAAAUGUAUUUCUUAAAUUUCAGUUUCAGUUCUUCAGUGUAAUAAUUUGAGCUAAUCAUAUUUUCUAUCCCUUGAUCCUAACCCUCACCUAUUAAUUAUUAAUUUAUUAAUUUAAACAUAUUCAUUGCAAUUAUGAAUGUAUUAUUUAUUUUUUGCUCCAUCGAAAUUAUGAUGUUUUUCUUAAAUCUCACAGAAUAUUUAUAUAUAUUUUUUAGUUUGUGUUAUGCAUUUUAUUUAGACAUUAUAUUUUAUACAUUGAACUAUUUAUUCAUAAUAUUUAAAUAAAUGUAUUCUAUGUAAUUUAAUAUGCAUCUCUUCCCCCC
This 6120-nucleotide long non-coding RNA is filed under the name Carassius auratus (goldfish). Its description in RNAcentral is "lncRNA (ENSCARG00000032128.1)". Lineage: Eukaryota; Metazoa; Chordata; Actinopteri; Cypriniformes; Cyprinidae. The record is from RNAcentral.